GACGAACGCUGGCGGCGUGCUUAACACAUGCAAGUCGAACGAUGAAGCAGAGACACGCGCACUUCGGUUCAAAUUUCACUUCGGAUUAGUGGCAGACGGGGGAGUAACGCGUGAGCAACCUACCUCUUACAAAGGGAUAGCCCCGGGAAACCGUGAUUAAUACCAAAUUGCACCUUCAUAAGGCAUCUUAAGAAUGUUAAAGGUACGGCGGUAAGGGAUUGGCGCGCGUCCCAUUAGCUAGUUGGUGAGGUAAAGGCCCACCAAGGCGACGAUGGGUAACCGGCCUGAGAGGGUGAACGGUCACAUUGGAACUGAGACACGGUCCAAACUCCUACGGGAGGCAGCAGUGGGGAAUAUUGCACAAUGGAGGGAACUCUGAUGCAGCGACGCCGCGUGAGCGAUGAAGGAAUUCGUUUCGUAAAGCUCUGUUCUAUGGGAAGAAAAGGACUGUACCAUAGGAGAAAGCCCCGGCUAAAUACGUG
RNAcentral lists this ribosomal RNA (482 nucleotides) under uncultured bacterium. RNAcentral's name for it is "partial 16S ribosomal RNA". It matches the Rfam family "Bacterial small subunit ribosomal RNA", at positions 28 to 507 of the family's 1533-position model. The record is from RNAcentral.